RNAcentral lists this long non-coding RNA (802 nucleotides) under Elaeis guineensis (African oil palm). RNAcentral describes it as "long non-coding RNA (EGUI_LNC032923)". Lineage: Eukaryota; Viridiplantae; Streptophyta; Magnoliopsida; Arecales; Arecaceae. The record is from RNAcentral.
CCUUCCGUCAAACAACAUCUCAGAUGAGUUAUGGACAUAAAAAUAUGUCAAACUCAAUUGCUUAUCUAUAUGUAUCUUGAUCAAAAGAUGAUGAUUUAGUUGAUAAUAUAUUAGAAACUCUUUUUUAAUAAUCAUCCUGUUUUAACCAAAGACUUCUAGAAUCAUCGAUCUAUGAGAUCACAUAAGAUGUUCGCUCUCCUUAUUAGGAGUGACUGAUCCCUUAUUGAUCACUCACAACCUCCAUGCAUACUUCACCACAUCUAGAAUACCCCAUACAAGGAUCAGAGAAUUAAGUUAGAAAGUGAAUCAAAAUAUGGAUUCAUGUACACAAGAUAUCAUGGCGAUCUCAGGUCAAAGGAUCACUUACACAACUCUCACUAAAGAAUCAUCAACUGACAUGUGAAUAAGACUCCAUCAGAUAUUCUCUCAUAAAUUUAUUCAGUGAACUCAUUCUCUAAUGAACACCCAUAUCCUUGUAUUAGUGUCACUAUACAAGUAGUUGUGAGAUCAACCACCCUCAUCUCUGAGCAUACAUAGGACAUGCUAGUCUUACCGGUAUCAUUGAUCCCUGACUCAACGAAUCAAUAACUGUGAAUAUUUUAGGUUAUGGCUAUCAAGAUUUUAGAUCUCACUAGUGUAAUCUCAUCACGGCUCUAAAAUCAUUGCCUAGACCUAUGGGGUUCAUUAUAAUCUUAAAACAAUAAGAUGCAGUAUAUAAUGAAUUAAAAAUAUUUAUUUUAUUAAUAAUAUUAAUAUCAAUUACAUGAGUCUGGAAGAUAAAUUAUAAAAAAUAUCGUAUCGC